This 431-nucleotide ribosomal RNA is filed under the name uncultured bacterium. Its description in RNAcentral is "bacterial SSU rRNA". It matches the Rfam family "Bacterial small subunit ribosomal RNA", at positions 55 to 507 of the family's 1533-position model. The record is from RNAcentral.
UAGCAAGUCGAACGAGACCUUCGGGUCUAGUGGCGCACGGGUGCGUAACACGUGGGAAUUUGCCUCGGGGUAUGGAAUAACUCAGGGAAACUUGAGCUAAUACCAUAUAAUGUCUUCGGCCAAAAGAUUUAUCGCCCUGAGAUAAGCCCGCGUAGGAUUAGCUAGUUGGUGAGGUAAAGGCUCACCAAGCCGACGAUCUGUAGCUGGUCUGAGAGGACGACCAGCCACACUGGGACUGAGACACGGCCCAGACUCCUACGGGAGGCAGCAGUGGGGAAUUUUGGACAAUGGGCGCAAGCCUGAUCCAGCAAUGCCGCGUGCAGGAUGAAGGCCUUCGGGUUGUAAACUGCUUUUGUACGGAACGAAACGGUGAGCUCUAAUACAGUUUGCUAAUGACGGUACCGUAAGAAUAAGGACCGGCUAACUUCGUG